GAUGAACGCUGGCGGCGUGCCUAAUACAUGCAAGUCGAGCGAACAGAUAAGGAGCUUGCUCCUUUGACGUUAGCGGCGGACGGGUGAGUAACACGUGGGUAACCUAUCUAUAAGACUGGAAUAACUCCGGGAAACCGGGGCUAAUGCCGGAUAACAUGUUGAACCGCAUGGUUCUACAGUGAAAGGCGGCUUUGCUGUCACUUAUAGAUGGACCCGCGCCGUAUUAGCUAGUUGGUGAGGUAACGGCUCACCAAGGCAACGAUACGUAGCCGACCUGAGAGGGUGAUCGGCCACACUGGAACUGAGACACGGUCCAGACUCCUACGGGAGGCAGCAGUAGGGAAUCUUCCGCAAUGGGCGAAAGCCUGACGGAGCAACGCCGCGUGGGUGAUGAAGGUCUUCGGAUCGUAAAACUCUGUUAUUAGGGAAGAACAAAUGCGUAAGUAACUGUGCGCGUCUUGACGGUACCUAAUCAGAAAGCCACGGCUAACUACGUG
Molecule: ribosomal RNA, 497 nt
Filed under: uncultured bacterium
Lineage: Bacteria
Description: partial 16S ribosomal RNA
Rfam family: Bacterial small subunit ribosomal RNA
Source: RNAcentral